RNAcentral lists this ribosomal RNA (254 nucleotides) under uncultured bacterium. RNAcentral describes it as "partial 16S ribosomal RNA". It matches the Rfam family "Bacterial small subunit ribosomal RNA", at positions 524 to 776 of the family's 1533-position model. The record is from RNAcentral.
UACAGAGGUCUCAAGCGUUGUUCGGAUUCAUUGGGCGUAAAGGGCGCGUAGGCGGCGGGGUCAGUCGGGUGUGAAAUCUUGGGGCUUAACCCCGAAACGGCACUCGAAACUGCCCGGCUGGAGGGCCGGAGAGGAGAUCGGAAUUCACGGUGUAGCAGUGAAAUGCGUAGAGAUCGUGAGGAAGACCCGUGGCGAAGGCGGAUCUCUGGACGGCUAACUGACGCUGAGGCACGAAAGCGUGGGGAGCAAACAGG